RNAcentral lists this ribosomal RNA (296 nucleotides) under uncultured bacterium. Its description in RNAcentral is "partial 16S ribosomal RNA". It matches the Rfam family "Bacterial small subunit ribosomal RNA", at positions 28 to 322 of the family's 1533-position model. The record is from RNAcentral.
GACGAACGCUGGCGGCGUGCUUAACACAUGCAAGUCGAGCGGUAAGGCCCUUUCGGGGGUACGACGAGCGGCGAACGGGUGAGUAACACGUGGGUGACCUGCCCUCAGCUCUGGGAGUAAGCCUGGGAAACGUGGGUCUAAUACCGGAUAUGACUCCAUGACGCAUGUUGUGGGGUGGAAAGCCUUGUGCGGCUGAGGAUGGGCCCGCGGCCUAUCAGCUUGUUGGUGGGGUGANGGCCUACCAAGGCGACGACGGGUAGCCGGCCUGAGAGGGCGACCGGCCACACUGGGACUGA